Long non-coding RNA from Triticum aestivum (bread wheat), 2035 nucleotides. RefSeq lists it as uncharacterized. The transcript has 2 exons. NCBI's taxonomy places the organism in Eukaryota, Viridiplantae, Streptophyta, Magnoliopsida, Poales, Poaceae. The record is from RefSeq and is a predicted model, not a curated record.
UGCCCUCUUUCUUCUCUAAUCAGUAGUGCCGUUUCUUGGUCCGGCGAUGGUUGCUCCCGCUCAUCCUUCCUGACAAUGCCCACGGCCGGUGCAUCACCGGAGCCCCCACUACCGGGCCUCAUCUCCAUUCGGCGGCCCGUCCCCCCUUCUCUCCUCCGUCGCUGCAGCUUCAUAUGUUCUGGACACGCCCCCUCCUCCCAGCCAGGCUCAGUCACUCCAACCAUGACGCGACGGCUGGAUGGAGCCCAUAUGGCGUGGCGGCGGCUUCACAACGGCAACGACACCCAUCGGUUCCCACUAGCCCAAUCAGGUGUCGGCUCUCGGCCAAGAUCCCGGUGGUGGAGCUGUGUCACGGCAUGCGAGGCCAUCCAGUGAGCGCCCUCCGGCACAUGACGCGCGGCACAACGACGCCCUCCGGCGUGGCUGACCGUGGCCAUGGUCCUACAGGUGCGCGCUAUGUGGGGUCAACGACCUUCCGGCGCGGUUCCCUCCGGGCGUCGUGUGGCGCUCGAUCGUGACUCCCAUGGCAGUGCUCCCCUGUGGCGGUAGCCAGCCGCUCUUCACGUGGUUCUAGCAGUCUGCAUAGUGUUCGUUUCUCCCGAUGCCGAUGGUAGCGUCGUGCCUUCCUUGACGAGUGGCGGGCAUGUCCGGGCGAUCCUCUCCCUCCUGGUCAACCAAGGCGUGCGAGUAUAGCGCCUGCGUUUGCGCCGUCGCGUCCAUGUGUGUUCUAUUUCACGCAGUCGAGGCAUCGCACUCUCAGCCGUGACCUUCCCUGGCGAGCAGACGACAUGUUCGCGCUGUCGCUUCACUCCCGAACUCCCGGUCGAUCAAGGCACACGGAGACGACGCCCGCCCUGCAUCACUUGUGUCCAAUGUGCAUGCCAACGGUCUGCGAUGCCGAGGGAUGCCUCCGUGUGCUCCUGCGUCGGUUGCUGCCAUAGUGCCAUGGUCCGUGUGCUCAGACUGAGAUGCAUCGAACCGGCGCCGGCCUGGGCGCCAUCACGGGACGGGUAGCGCCGCCGCGUGCUGCCGACCGAGGGCACGCUCGGGCGACUGAGCGAACGCCCAACGUGUAAUCUUGGCUCCUGAGUAUCUGAACUUUUACGGGCUUGAAGCUAUGUACCACUUGAUUUUAUCUUGUUGAAUAAAGUUAGUUCGCUGCAUGGAAACCGCGUAUUAAUUCUAUUAGUUUAUAUAGAGUUGUGAUUGGCCAGUGUUUGUAUGCACUAGCAAAAGCUGAUGUGACUACGUGCAUGUGCAUCUCCAAGGUGCUUUCAAAGUUUCAAAGGGUACGUACUGUAUCAGUUUUUCCCAGUCGUGAUUGGCCUGGCUCCUACGUAUAGUUUAUGUGUAUAUCAGUGUAUGGCUAAUGCGUGCUAAGGCACACUUUUAGUUAGUUUUAUGUCCUAAUGAAGGGCAGUCGAGACAAUAGAUAGAGGUUAUUUUAUCUAAUUCAAAAGUGACAUAUUUCCAGCUUUCUUUAAUGAUGUCAAGACGUUCGCGAAUUUGAAAGUUGGAACACCUUGGCUGAUACUCCCUCCGUCCUUUAAAGGAUGUAUUUCCAACUUUGUUGGAGAGUCAAACCAUCUUAAAGUUUGACCAAGUUUGUGCAAAAAUAUAUAAUUGUUUAUGAAACCAAAUAAGUAUAUGAUGAAAAUAUAUUUUAUCAUGAAUCUAACGCUACUAAUUUGAUAGCAUAAAUGUUGAUGUAUUAUUGUAUAAAUACGGUCAAACAUAAAAAAGUUUGACUUUCCAACUCUUUGAAGGACGGAGGGAGUAGAGAAAAAGAUGAGCUCAAAUGUUGUUCCUCUGUUAUCAAACUCAUUCGAUGCCAGCCAGGUAGAAUUGGGACCUAAUGAUGCUAUAGCACCUGCAAAUGGGGGUGCAGGAGUUCAUAAUUUGUGGGACUACAACUCGGGAUAGGAGAUUUUGCUUUGUGUAUUCUAGAAAGUGAUUUUCCUGGAGAAGGAAUGGUUAUGUCAACAUUUCGAAAGAAGAUUCAAAUCCUAAAAGCAGAGCUACUUUUGCGGUGUUU